CCAAGAUGAGUAAUGUUAUAUGGCACAACAUAUUUGUCGCACCAUAUGCACGAAGCAUCAACUACUUGCCUUUUCCAUCCUAAUUAAUGUCCUUCUUAGAUAUCUCAUUCACUUAUAUUUUGUUGGAACCAAAGAAAAAAAAUGAUAUUCCAUAAUAUUAAUGUCACACAUGUUUUUUUAAGGGAAUUAAUGUCAAUAUGUUAUAUUUUGUAUUAUACAUAUUAUUUUACAGGAUAUCUCAAGCUUAAAGGUUGACGAACUAAUAGGUUCUCUGCAAAACUUUGAAAUAACUGUCAACAACAAAACUGACAAAAAGGGCAAGGGCAUUGCUUUUGCCUCUAGUAUUGAUUCUGAUGAGGCACAAGGAAAUCAUGAGGAUGAUGAAGAUAUGUCAGAGUCCCUAGCUCUGCUUGGAAGACAGUUCAAAAAAUUCUUCAAUAAAUUUGACAGAAGAUCUAGAUCGAAUGGUCAGAACAUCAGAUCCAAUAUUGAUAAUCAACCAAGUAAAGACAAGAUGGCAAGAGCUGAUGAGAAGAAUCCUCAAUACAGGGGUGUUUAAUGUCAUGAAUGUGAAGGAUAUCGUCAUAUCAAAACAUAAUUUGCUACUUUUCUGAAAAGGCAAAAUAAGAGUUUGACUGUCUCAUGGUCAGAUGGAGAUGACUCAGAAGAUGGAGCUAUAACCGAGUCUACUAAACAUGCCACUGCAAUGACUGGUAAAAUUAUGUCCGAUAUAGAGUCAUAUGAUGAAGAGUUGAGUUAUGAGGAAUUGGCUGUCUCUUACAAUGAUCUUAUUGUAAAAAAUACUGACACGAGUCAGAUGCUUGAGAAACAAAAAGACACCAUCAGCAAGCUGUAGGUUGAAAGGAAUGAGAAUCUUGCUAGAAUCCCAGAACUCAAUGAUGAGGUGAACCAACUGAAUUCACAACUAGAUCAUAUAAAGAAGGAUGAUUAGAGAGGGAGGGGGGAAUCAAGAAGAGAGAUGGAGGAGGAAAUUCUGUUUUAGAGUGAGAUAGAAGUGAUGAAAAUGAAUGUAGAGAGCUUUGGGACUUUGAGCGGGACUUUAUAUAGUCUCAGGUGUAAAUUACUCAUUUGCUUUCUUGAGAUUAAA
Molecule: long non-coding RNA, 1108 nt
Filed under: Medicago truncatula (barrel medic)
Lineage: Eukaryota; Viridiplantae; Streptophyta; Magnoliopsida; Fabales; Fabaceae
Description: long non-coding RNA (MTRU_LNC004668)
Source: RNAcentral